UACGUAGGGGGCAAGCGUUGUCCGGAUUUAUUGGGCGUAAAGAGCUCGUAGGUGGUUCGGUAAGUCGGAUGUGAAAUCUCCAGGCUCAACCUGGAGGGGUCAUUCGAUACUGCCGUGACUAGAGGUCGGUAGGGGAGUGUGGAAUUCCCGGUGGAGCGGUGAAAUGCGCAGAUAUCGGGAGGAACACCUGUGGCGAAGGCGGCUUUCUGGGCCUUACCUGACGCUGAGACGCGAAAGCGUGGGGAGCGAACCGG
Molecule: ribosomal RNA, 254 nt
Filed under: uncultured bacterium
Lineage: Bacteria
Description: partial 16S ribosomal RNA
Rfam family: Bacterial small subunit ribosomal RNA
Source: RNAcentral